Molecule: ribosomal RNA, 405 nt
Filed under: uncultured bacterium
Lineage: Bacteria
Description: partial 16S ribosomal RNA
Rfam family: Bacterial small subunit ribosomal RNA
Source: RNAcentral
GACGAACGCUGGCGGCGUGCUUAACACAUGCAAGUCGAGCGGAGCGGCCAACGGGUGAGUAACGCGUGAGUAACUGCCCCCCUCUCUGGGAUAACAGUUGGAAACGGCUGCUAAUACCGGAUAGUGGGGGAUGACUCGCGUCCUAUCAGCUUGUUGGUGGGGUAGUGGCCUACCAAGGCGACGACGGGUAGCCGGCCUGAGAGGGUGAACGGCCACGUUGGGCUGAGAUACGGCCCAGACUCCGACGGGGGGCAGAAGUGGGGGAUAUUGGACAAUGGGCGAAAGACUGAUGCAGCGACGCCGAGUGGGGGAUGAAGGCUUUAGGGUUGUAAACCUCUUUAGCUAUCGAAAGGGUAGGUGGAGAAGAAGCGCCGGCUAACUACGUGCCAGCAGCCGCGGUAAUUC